RNAcentral lists this ribosomal RNA (468 nucleotides) under uncultured bacterium. Its description in RNAcentral is "partial 16S ribosomal RNA". It matches the Rfam family "Bacterial small subunit ribosomal RNA", at positions 28 to 507 of the family's 1533-position model. The record is from RNAcentral.
GACGAACGCUGGCGGCGUGCUUAACACAUGCAAGUCGAACGGAAAGGCCCUGCUUUUGUGGGGUGCUCGAGUGGCGAACGGGUGAGUAACACGUGAGUAACCUGCCCUUGACUUUGGGAUAACUUCAGGAAACUGGGGCUAAUACCGGAUAGGAGCUCCUGCCGCAUGGUGGGGGUUGGAAAGUUUCGGCGGUUGGGGAUGGACUCGCGGCUUAUCAGCUUGUUGGUGGGGUAGUGGCUUACCAAGGCUUUGACGGGUAGCCGGCCUGAGAGGGUGACCGGCCACAUUGGGACUGAGAUACGGCCCAGACUCCUACGGGAGGCAGCAGUGGGGAAUAUUGCACAAUGGGCGGAAGCCUGAUGCAGCAACGCCGCGUGCGGGAUGACGGCCUUCGGGUUGUAAACCGCUUUCGCCUGUGACGAAGCGUGAGUGACGGUAAUGGGAAAAGAAGCACCGGCUAACUACGUG